Molecule: long non-coding RNA, 2463 nt
Filed under: Theobroma cacao (cacao)
Lineage: Eukaryota; Viridiplantae; Streptophyta; Magnoliopsida; Malvales; Malvaceae
Description: long non-coding RNA (TCAC_LNC005037)
Source: RNAcentral
AGCAAACCAUUCUUUCUCAGUUUAAUCAUAAAGUAGUGAUACAUGUUCUACAUUUUUUAUUUUCUUAUUGUAAAAUGGAAGAGGAGAGUUCAUAUGGUUCUUCCGCCACUAGUUAUAUUUAUUAGCUAAUUAACUAUUACAGGCCUUCACAAAAAACCUGUGAGUUAGAUUGGAAAAAAUAGUGCAAGAUUAAUUUCCACUCUUUGAUCUACAAUGUGAAAAAGGAGUAGAUGAAUUUUGGGUAUUUGGCCUCUUUUUGAUAGAAACCAGAUUUUUCUCUAUACUCCUAAGGAUUGAGGUCUCAAGUGGCCUAAUCAAAAUGUCCUCUCUCCCAAUCUGACUCAUAGGGACAGUAGAAAUUGCCUUCAGAGCUGCUAGAGAUAACAAAUGCUUCUAUUCCUUCCAAGAUCAUUCAGGCCCAAGACAAUUUUGCACCCUUUACAGCCUCUAUUAAUAUUAUGAGGAAAGUGAAUUCCUUUCAGGCCCUAUAGGCCUCUCCAACAUUACUUUGCUAGGAGGGCAUUAUCAAAAGGAUUCAUGUCCUUAAAUCCUAUUCCUCCUUCUCCUUGCUGCGAGUAAGUUUUUGCUACUUUGCUGAUGCAUCUUACUUUAAUCUUGUCCUUACCUUCCCCAAAAUUUUGCCAUAGCUGUAUUGACUUCAUCACAUAUCUUCUUAGGUAGCUUAAAACUAGGUUGUGUAAGUUGGGAUUGCACGUUCAAACUUUUUGAGAAGUAUUUAUCUUGCUUCUUGAGGUAAAAUUUUCAGCAUCCUUUCUUCACAUAUCUUAUGAGUUUAUUAAACUCCCCCUGUACUGUAUUCUUGAUACUAACAACAGUCAUACUGCAUGGUUAACAAGUGACCUUUGAUUUACCAUCUAAAGCAGCUGAUAUGGCACCAUUUAGCAAUAGGUGGAUAGGCACAACCUGAAUAUAAAACCACGACAAACCCUGGGCUUAACCAAUAUGGUAUAACACCACAUAACACUCUUGCUCAUGUAUAGGCCUAAUAAUAAUAACAAUUGAGACAAAUGGUGCUUCUGCAUGCAUCAGUACAAGGUAACAAACAACUUAGUCUAUCAUACCAUGUAAAGGCAUCCAACUUAAAAGGAGGCUGCAAUAAUACAUUGAAUUUAACUAAUCUGUGAUAAAAGUAGUUAACUAUGGGGACAAAGAAGAAGGUUAGAAAAGAGACAAUGAUACAAAUGUUGUUAUUGGUAUUGGGACUUGAAUCUAUUUAGACAUGGUUGUUAGUAAUCAUGAUUUUAUGUAUAUUGCAUUGUAUUUUUGCAUAGACUUUUCUGUAAGAUUGGAUGGAUUGUAAUUAGCUUCUUUUAACGUGGAAGUUUUCUUGCAACAAUAGUGUGGGCUCACAUGCACUUGGCAGGACUAAUUUAAACUUGAUUCUACAAAUUUUAAUAUCAUCUAUUGGAGGUUUUUGCAUCUUUCUUUGAAUCUUUUUGCAAAUUGACUAUAUUAAUGAAGUUAUAUAUUGGAUAAAAGGGAAAGACCAUGUAAGGAAUGUUGUCAAUUCACUUACUUAUAGAAAUCUUCAGAAUAUGUUUAGAAAAUGAUGUGAAAUUGAGGUAUAAGAUUGAUGUUACUCCUUUGAUGGUGUCUAGCUGGUGUUCCGCAUUCUUGAAUGGGAAAAUAGAGGAAAAGGAUUUUUGCCAAGCAUUACCAUACUGGAUUGUUGAGUCUGCAAUCAAGGGAUAUUUAUCAUGUGAGUUUACUUGUAUUUUCACUAUUGAGAGUAUUGAGGGCGACUUCUCUUUAAUUGCAUCAAGUCAAGUGUAUGCUUUCUACAUGCACACUAUGGUUCUUUAGCCCAUUGAUUAAGAUUUAUUUCUUCUCAUGAGUGAUAAUGCAAAAGAGAUUUAUGAAUAUCAUUAUAUAGAAUUGUUAAAGAGAUACAUAACUAACUUCUUUAUUGAUCUUAUAUCAUAGAAAGAUAUUCUAGUAUCUCAAGAAAUAAACAUUUUAGUCUUUAGUAAUAGAAACUACUGGAAUAGCUUAUGGAUUCUGAGAUUGUUACGACCCAAUUUCCCGGGCCAUGACCGACGCAUGAGCUCAAUGAGCAUAGCUCACUAAGCCCAAGCAAGCCUAUCCAUUUACCUUUGCUUAACAAAUUUAUCAUAUCAUGCAUACACACACACCUUUUUCUGGGUGUGAACAUAGCCAAAACAUAAUGACAUUAUCGAUAAUAAUAUACAUGCACUAUACCAGUCAUGUAUUUAGCAAUUUACAUUGCAUACACAUAUUCACAUUGUUAGAUUGUAUUCACAAUACAAAAAGACCCAUAACUUCCAACAGAGACAUUUACAAUAAAAUGGAUUACUAUCGAAUGUCAGACACAUACCCAGGAGAUGCACUAUGGGGACUCCUCAAUCUAGGGUCCAACAGUCACCUGAUCUGAAAACAUGAAUUUUUAUAAAACGUGAGUACAAUACUCAGUGAGUGAACAAG